This 77-nucleotide transfer RNA is filed under the name Candidatus Peribacteria bacterium RIFCSPHIGHO2_02_FULL_51_15. RNAcentral's name for it is "tRNA-Met". It matches the Rfam family "tRNA". Rfam says of the family: Transfer RNA (tRNA) molecules are approximately 80 nucleotides in length. Their secondary structure includes four short double-helical elements and three loops (D, anti-codon, and T loops). Further hydrogen bonds mediate the characteristic L-shaped molecular structure. tRNAs have two regions of fundamental functional importance: the anti-codon, which is responsible for specific mRNA codon recognition, and the 3' end, to which the tRNAs corresponding amino acid is attached (by aminoacyl-tRNA synthetases). tRNAs cope with the degeneracy of the genetic code in two manners: having more than one tRNA (with a specific anti-codon) for a particular amino acid; and 'wobble' base-pairing, i.e. permitting non-standard base-pairing at the 3rd anti-codon position. RNAcentral also lists the same sequence under 1 other name. Lineage: Bacteria; Candidatus Peregrinibacteriota; Candidatus Peribacteria. The record is from RNAcentral.
CGCGGGGUGGAGCAGCCCGGUAGCUCGCCAGGCUCAUAACCUGGAGGUCGCAGGUUCAAAUCCUGUCCCCGCAACCA